GACGAACGCUGGCGGCGUGCUUAACACAUGCCAGUCGAACGGACAGGCCCUGCUUUUGUUGGUUUCUCGUUUGCCGAACGGGUGAGUAACACGUGAGUAACCUCCCCUUGUCUUUGUGAUAACUUCAGGAAACUGGGGCUAAUACCGGAUAUGAGCUCCUGCUGCAUGUUGGUGGUUGGAAAGUUUCGGCGGUUGGGGCUGUACUCGCGGCUUAUCAGCUUGUUGGUGGGGUAGUUGCUUACCAAGUCUUUGACGGGUAGCCGGCCUGAGAGGGGGACCGGGCACAUUGGGACUAAGGGAGGGAGCAGAAUCGAACGGGAGGCAGUAGGGGGGAGUAUGGCAGAAUGGGGGGAAGCGUGAUGCAGCAACGCUGCGUGCGGGAUGACGGGCUUCGGGUUGUAAACAGAUGUCGCCUGUGACGAAGAGUGAGUGACGGUACUGGGUAAAGAAGCAACGGCUAACUACGUG
RNAcentral lists this ribosomal RNA (468 nucleotides) under uncultured bacterium. RNAcentral describes it as "partial 16S ribosomal RNA". It matches the Rfam family "Bacterial small subunit ribosomal RNA", at positions 28 to 507 of the family's 1533-position model. The record is from RNAcentral.